Molecule: long non-coding RNA, 1315 nt
Organism: Nothobranchius furzeri (turquoise killifish)
Lineage: Eukaryota; Metazoa; Chordata; Actinopteri; Cyprinodontiformes; Nothobranchiidae
Source: RefSeq, a predicted model, not a curated record
GGCCGUUGUCCAGUGCAGACCCAAGUGUAGUUUAUUUACAUUUUACAAAAUUAAAAUCUAGGCAGCACAAAUCCAUGCCUGCCGCUCCAUCCAACACUCAACCCUCAACAAAAAACUCCCUCCAGCAAACACAGAGCUGUAUUUAUAACAGGUGUGACCAAUUGGAUUAAUCCUAAAACCCAGACACAGGUAAGAACAAAAAAUACAAUCUUUCAAUACUCUUAAAUUAUACUUAAAUCAUCAUCUCUAAGAUCUCCUUAAAUAAUUACAAUACAAAAAUAGAAACAUCCUUAAUCAAUCCUAAAAACAUUCAAUGAAACUAAUCUGCCUUCCUAGAGCAAUUUCACAGGUCACCCCUCCUAUUCCUCCUGAAUGGAAUGCUCCGGAACCUUCUUUAGGUGCUCCAGCUCCCCAGGAACUCUUUUAGCUGGAACACCUCCAGAAGCACAUGGGAAACAGGUCCAAACGCUUCACCCCUUCCAAAUAAACAUUAAAACAAUCAUUGAGCCUGGUUUCAUUUAUCCUACAAUCAUAGCAAAAGCCUGUGCAAUUGGACUUUCUAUAUUACAAUGAUUUGUAGAUCUGAGUGGAAUCAGCUGGAUGGAAACAGGUUGGUAGCUGAAUCUCUCUGGUGAAAUGGCGUCAGAUUCUCUGCAGGGAUGGCAGGUCUCUUGUAGUCAAAGAAGAGCACUGUCGCUGCCCAACUUGAAUUACGACUCAAGAUGCAGAGAGUUUCGACUGAUGCAACUUUAUUUCUCUCCUUCUUUCCACCUUCGACCAUAUGACACCGUGAAAAUUCUUUGCUUCCAAGGGGCGCUAAUCUUGUUUAACCUUCUAACAGCUUCCUCCAUACACAUCUUUUUCAGUCUUGGUUUACACGAACGCUUCAUUUAAGUUUUACCCUCUCCGAAGCCAUGUUUGUUUUGUUUCACGGAGUACAGAGAGGGGAAAGUUGCACACCGAAAGGAAGUGCUGUGGUAACUGAGCGAUGCUCUUCAAAAUAAAGGCACAAGAGGAAGCAACUAGAAAAGGAAAAUGAAGAGCUACGGAAAUAUGAGCUGUGCUCUUCAAAAUAAAGCACAAAAUGAAAUGGCCUUUUCUUUUUUUCAUUUACAGUAUUCUACCUUCAUUGUAGUCAUCUCCAGUCCAACAUAAUGUGUUUACUAUUGUGGGUUUAUAUUGUGUGUUAUGAAUUUUGCAAUGUAAACACAUUCGUCCUUUAUUCUUCUCCACCUCUUUAUGCAGUCGUCGCCUCCAAACUAAAGUUUCCUGUAAUUUCCAUCUAUGAAUAAAAAGUUUGCUUUUAUUCUUUGUA